CUUGCUAGUGAGAUGGAGUUGCACAAUCAUCAGCCUCACUCUUCCAGAGUCAUCAAAGUUCAGUACCAAGACAAAAUUCAGAAUGACCUCAAUGUAGUGAGGUCCAAUGACCACACAAUGAGGCCAGUGACCAGGAUGUAGUGGAUGACCCUGGCAUUUUCAAUGCCUGCCAAGCUCUAAGUACUCCACAAUGUUUGCUUCAGUCAUCUUCAUGACUGUUGGAACAAACUGUUCUCAUCUGCCCAUUUCACAGUGGGGAAGUCUUCGCAUGCUGGGGGUAGACAUCUCUGUUACUCACCAAUUGGUUUGAGAUCUGUUGUCCAUAAUCAACCUGGUUUAGAUGGUUUUAACAAAAUGGAGCUGCCAUUCAUUCUAUCACUUCUCAGAGCCACAGAAGAAGGGACUGCUAAUGAGCCACUGUCAGUGGGAAGAAGCACAGGAUCAAGGAUGCCAAUAGCUCCUGUUGGGGUGGUCAAUAUCAAUACCAAGGUAGAGGACCUGUCUCAGGGGACUCAGGGAAGCAGUUGUUCAGCAAGUCCUGAGGUUGGACUUCCCUGUUUUCUGCCUUUAAGAUAAAAGAUUAAAACUUAUCUCUAUUUGGCUUUACCUCUAGCUUUCUAUCUCUAAGUGAAGUAGAAGUCAGACCAGGAGAUCAUAUUUCCUUUUUUGUCAUAUUUUUGUCCCUUAUUUCUUCUUUAGUAUGGGAGUAAUCUGUAGUUUCUGUAGUUGUGAUUGUUGGUGACUGACUGUAAUAUUACUGCACUUGCCCUACAUGCUUAUAGGAUAUAAGCUACCUCAACUGGACCUUGAUGGUGAAUCAAGGACUUAUGAUUUUAAUUUAUACUUAUAUUUUAAUAUUUUUUUUAUUAUUUUGGCUU
This 878-nucleotide long non-coding RNA is filed under the name Monodelphis domestica (gray short-tailed opossum). RNAcentral describes it as "lncRNA (ENSMODG00000048534.1)". Lineage: Eukaryota; Metazoa; Chordata; Mammalia; Didelphimorphia; Didelphidae. The record is from RNAcentral.